AUUGAACGCUGGCGGCAGGCCUAACACAUGCAAGUCGAGCGGAUGAAGGGAGCUUGCUCCUGGAUUCAGCGGCGGACGGGUGAGUAAUGCCUAGGAAUCUGCCUGGUAGUGGGGGAUAACGUCCGGAAACGGGCGCUAAUACCGCAUACGUCCUGAGGGAGAAAGUGGGGGAUCUUCGGACCUCACGCUCUCAGAUGAGCCUAGGUCGGAUUAGCUAGUUGGUGGGGUAAAGGCCUACCAAGGCGACGAUCCGUAACUGGUCUGAGAGGAUGAUCAGUCACACUGGAACUGAGACACGGUCCAGACUCCUACGGGAGGCAGCAGUGGGGAAUAUUGGACAAUGGGCGAAAGCCUGAUCCAGCCAUGCCGCGUGUGUGAAGAAGGUCUUCGGAUUGUAAAGCACUUUAAGUUGAGAAGAAGGGCAGUAAGUUAAUACCUUGCUGUUUUGACGUUACCAACAGAAUAAGCACCGGCUAACUUCGUG
This 484-nucleotide ribosomal RNA is filed under the name uncultured bacterium. RNAcentral's name for it is "partial 16S ribosomal RNA". It matches the Rfam family "Bacterial small subunit ribosomal RNA", at positions 30 to 507 of the family's 1533-position model. The record is from RNAcentral.